This 297-nucleotide unclassified non-coding RNA is filed under the name Hevea brasiliensis (rubber tree). The record is from RNAcentral. Lineage: Eukaryota; Viridiplantae; Streptophyta; Magnoliopsida; Malpighiales; Euphorbiaceae.
UCUCACCAAUUUUAAGGAUCAGGGGCUUAAGGCACCCGCCAGGCCACAAGAAGCACGUUGUCUCUCUUGUAAGAUUAAUGCUAGUUUACCAAACGUUUUUUUCCUUUUCCUUUUUUGGUUGGGUCAUUGUUUUUCUCAUUUGCGUAAAUUGCUUUGUUUCUUGUUAGGAUUCUUUGAUUAAAGAAUGGAUAUCUGAAGUAUUUGUUAAUAGUUUCUUAUGUCGUGUUUGAAUCAUGACCACAUAAUUUGAUUAGUUUAAUGUUUCAGAUAAAUGAAUAUACAUUUCUGCUGAUUUAG